UACGGGGGGGGCAAGCGUUGUUCGGAAUUACUGGGCGUAAAGGGCUCGUAGGCGGCCAACGAAGUCAGUCGUGAAAUCCCUCGGCUCAACCGGGGAACUGCGUCUGAUACUGGAUGGCUUGAAUCCGGAAGAGGGAUGCGGAAUUCCAGGUGUAGCGGUGAAAUGCGUAGAUAUCUGGAGGAACACCGGUGGCGAAGGCGGCAUCCUGGGUCGGCAUUGACGCUGAGGAGCGAAAGCCAGGGGAGCAAACGGG
This 253-nucleotide ribosomal RNA is filed under the name uncultured bacterium. RNAcentral describes it as "partial 16S ribosomal RNA". It matches the Rfam family "Bacterial small subunit ribosomal RNA", at positions 524 to 776 of the family's 1533-position model. The record is from RNAcentral.